This is a long non-coding RNA of Homo sapiens (human), 1287 nucleotides long. Lineage: Eukaryota; Metazoa; Chordata; Mammalia; Primates; Hominidae. The record is from Ensembl.
AUUUAAAUAGAAUCUGAGGAAAGGAUUUGAUGAACCAAAAAGCUAACUGAAAGUAUUGAGAGAUCAAGAGUGGAGAAUAUAUGAAGAAACACAAAUUAUUUGCUCUACCAUUUUGCAAAUUGUCUAACCCUGUACUUAAGGGAGAGAAGGCAAAGAGGGUCUGACAUCAUUUUUUUUCCAUUAAGCAGGUGCAAAUCUCUCUGGGUCCUACCUGGAAUAUCAUGUUGUAUUUAGUUGUCUUUGGCUGUGACAGUUUUUCUUGCUUUUGAAGACCUUGACAGUUUUGAGGAGUUCCAGUCAGAUAUUUUUAGAAUACUCUAUUAGAAUUUGUCUGAUUUUUUUUCUCAUGACAUAAGAUUGAGGUUAUGGGUUAUUCACAGAGGUGAAGUGCCAUUUUCAUCACAUCACAUCACGUCGCACUAUCAGCAUGAUUUAUGACUGCUGACGUUCGCCUUGAUCACCUGGCUGAAGUAAUGUUUGUUAGGUUUUUCUACAGUAAAUCUACCCCACCCUCUAAGGAAGUCACUAUAACCAGUCCACACUUAAGGUCACAUAUUAUUUACUUAAGACACGUAUAUCUGAUGAACCUGCUAACAUCCAGAUUAUAGUUUUCAGAGACAAAUAUUAAACGGAUGGAUUUGAAGAAAUUCAGAAAUUAAGAAAAGCUUGGAGCUUCUAGUCUACCUGGGUUCCUGAGGACUGGACAUUGUAAAUUUUCUGAGGACCCUGAUGCCUUAGGAGUGUGGAAUUAUCAAGAGAAAGUGUGGCAUGGGUGGGACGUUAAAGACACCAUGGUGUUUCACUUGGGAAUAUGGGACAAGGCUCUGGCCAAAGGCACAAAGCACCCCAAGAGACAGAACCUGGUGGAAUGUUAAUAAAAUAAAUAACACAACAAUGAAACAACUAGGAAAAAAGCUUGUAAGCAUAUUGUUGGGUGAAAGGAGUAUAAAUUCUAGUUUAUGUUUUGGCUAGAAGGGGGCAGGGUAAAAAAGUGAUUCUUAUUUUCCCCAUAUUUCUCUUUUUUCUAAUUAGUUACAGAUGUUUUUAUUAUAACAUUUAAGUAAUUAAGGAGAACUCUUUGAGUACAGAAAAUAGUCAAAUGAGGCAAUUUGCUCCAAUUUUAAAAAGAGUUUGGGAAGUGGAAGUCAGAAAAUGUGGAUUUCAGCUUUGCAUUUUAUUGGUGAGCUUCCUUUUAAACUUCUGUCAUCCCAUGUGUGAAAUAAUAGUAAAAUCUAUCUUAUAUUUUUUGGUAUAGUUUUGGAUGUACUCAAAUAAAAUAAUACACAA